RNAcentral lists this ribosomal RNA (434 nucleotides) under uncultured bacterium. RNAcentral describes it as "partial 16S ribosomal RNA". It matches the Rfam family "Bacterial small subunit ribosomal RNA", at positions 29 to 507 of the family's 1533-position model. The record is from RNAcentral.
AGCGAACGCUGGCGGCAGGCCUAACACAUGCAAGUCGAACGAACCUUUCGGGGUUAGUGGCGGACGGGUGAGUAACACGUGGGAACGUGCCUUUAGGUUCGGAAUAACUCAGGGAAACUUGUGCUAAUACCGAAUGUGCCCUUCGGGGGAAAGAUUUAUCGCCCUUAGAGCGGCCCGCGUCUGAUUAGCUAGUUGGUUGAGGUAAUGGCUCACCAAGGCGACGAUCAGUAGCUGGUCUGAGAGGAUGGUCAGCCACAUUGGGACUGAGACACGGCCCAAAAUCCUACGGGAGGCAGGAGUGGGGAAUGUUGCGAAAUGGGCGAAAGCCUGACGCAGCCAUGCCGCGUGAAUGAUGAAGGUCUUAGGAUUGUAAAAUUCUUUCACCGGGGACGAUAAUGACGGUACCCGGAGAAGAAGCCCCGGCUAACUUCGUG